RNAcentral lists this ribosomal RNA (799 nucleotides) under Chitinophaga sp. RNAcentral describes it as "bacterial SSU rRNA". It matches the Rfam family "Bacterial small subunit ribosomal RNA", at positions 56 to 853 of the family's 1533-position model. Lineage: Bacteria; Pseudomonadati; Bacteroidota; Chitinophagia; Chitinophagales; Chitinophagaceae. The record is from RNAcentral.
UGCAAGUCGAGGGGCAGCACAGGUAGCAAUACUGGGUGGCGACCGGCAAACGGGUGCGGAACACGUACGCAACCUUCCUUUAAGCGGGGAAUAGCCCAGAGAAAUUUGGAUUAAUACCCCAUAAGAAUGUGGUCUGGCAUCAGACAGCAUUUAAAGAUUUAUCACUUAAAGAUGGGCGUGCGUCUGAUUAGGUAGUUGGUGAGGUAACGGCUCACCAAGCCGACGAUCAGUAACUGGCGUGAGAGCGCGACCAGUCACACGGGCACUGAGACACGGGCCCGACUCCUACGGGAGGCAGCAGUAAGGAAUAUUGGUCAAUGGACGCAAGUCUGAACCAGCCAUGCCGCGUGGAGGAUGAAGGCCCUCUGGGUUGUAAACUUCUUUUAUUUGGGACGAAACACUUUCUUUCUAGAGAGCUUGACGGUACCAGAUGAAUAAGCACCGGCUAACUCCGUGCCAGCAGCCGCGGUAAUACGGAGGGUGCAAGCGUUAUCCGGAUUCACUGGGUUUAAAGGGUGCGUAGGCGGAUAUGUAAGUCCGUGGUGAAAUCUCAGGGCUUAACCCUGAAACUGCCAUGGAUACUAUAUAUCUUGAAUGUUGUGGAGGUUAGCGGAAUAUGUCAUGUAGCGGUGAAAUGCAUAGAUAUGACAUAGAACACCAAUUGCGAAGGCAGCUGGCUACACAAAUAUUGACGCUGAGGCACGAAAGCGUGGGGAUCAAACAGGAUUAGAUACCCUGGUAGUCCACGCCCUAAACGAUGAUUACUCGACAUACGCGAUACACAGUGUGUGUCUGAGCG